GCCAUAUCUACUGAAAAUCACCGGAACCCAUCAGAACUCAGAAGUUAAACCAGUAUGAGCUUAAUCAGUACUAAGAAUGGAGACUACUUGGGA
This 93-nucleotide ribosomal RNA is filed under the name Nosema sp. PM-1. Lineage: Eukaryota; Fungi; Microsporidia; Nosematidae. The record is from RNAcentral.